AUCAAUAGGUCCUGAGGGAACUGGCAGACGAAGUGGCUAAGCCACCAUCCAUCAUAUUGGAGAAGUUGUGGCAGUCUGGGGAAGUUCCCACCGACUGGAAAAGGGGAAGCAAACCCCCCAUUU
Molecule: long non-coding RNA, 123 nt
Organism: Aquila chrysaetos chrysaetos
Lineage: Eukaryota; Metazoa; Chordata; Aves; Accipitriformes; Accipitridae
Exons: 3
Source: RefSeq, a predicted model, not a curated record